AUGGAGUGUGUGAGAACGGCCGAAGUGUUUGAGGUUCGAAAAUCUGGUGUACGCGCCGCCGGACGACAGUGAUACUCCACCCCACCCCCUCGUCCACUCAGCUGUCAGCAGCGCCAAUGAAGCAGCACCGAAGAUGCAGCACGCACACUCACACGCACUCCCUGUAGAAGAGAAGAGAACAGAGGCAUCCGCCAUGGCCUCUGUCUCGCCGUCUGCGCCACCACAAAGCCCUCUUCUCAUGAUCUCAACGACACCGACGCCACCGCUGACGGCACAGGGCCCACUGGCGGGACGCAGACCUCCACCACAUGUGUCGCUGACCCUGGCCCGUGCGGCGGAUGCAGCCGGUGGUGCUGGAGCUGCAGCUGCCCUCAUGAGCACUGCGGAUACCGUGGCGAGGCCGAUAGCAAGUCCCUCUCGCACAGUCCACACGAGCAGCAGCGCGCCAGCGCAGUGUUCCCUAACGUCUGCGAGAGGCCGAAGAGCGCACAAGACGGCGCCCUUCGGGUCACCGCAGCCAGUGCUGCUGCGCAACCCAUACGGCAUGGAGCGGCCGCGCCUUGUCGACGCUCUGCACGGCGGCGGUCGCGCCGGCUUUCGCGCUCACCAACACGGGUCGACUUCCUCAUCCCACGCCGACGCGGAGGUGCUGCUGUCACGGCAAGAUGCCGCGCUCUACGACGCGUGCGCCACGCGGCUGCGAGUGGUGCGGCAGGAGCGCCGCGCUCUGGCCGCAAAGCUGGCGGCCUCCAAGCAGCAGCUUGAGCAUGCGCAUGCGCUCCUUGACGCGUGGCGUGAGAAGCCUAAGCAGCCGCCCGCUACGGCACAGACAAAGCAAGCGGAGAGGGAUGGGGCAGUGCCGGAGCCGCAGCCAAGCAGCUCGCCGAGGAAGCAGGAGACGGAGAGGAUGAUACGUCAGCUGCGGGAGCUGGACAGAGAAAACGAUGAGCUUCGUCGACGCUACGAGGCGCUUGUGCAAGAGAAACGGCACUGCUUGACGGUGCAUAACGCACGACUGCGGCGGCCAGCACCCGCCGCAGCGCCUUCCUCGACCACAUCGCGCCGAUCCUCCGCGACAGCUGCGUGCAACGAGUCCAGUGCCUUCGCACGCGAUGUAAAGAUACUUGACACUCGCCUCGCUACUGCCAUGGCGCAGCAGCAAGCACUGCAGCAAGGGCUUGCGCUGGCCGUCGCAAAGGAACGCGGACGCAUCACGGCUCUCACUCACCUGCAAGCACGCGGCUUUGCAUGUAUGUAUGCACCCGAACCGAACGGCAGCGCCAUCACAUCCGCCUCGCGCGAAGCGGGCGCCUGACCGUACCUCCCUUUACGCACACACACACAAAUAAACUGACAUAUGUGAGACUCGCUCGCCUCCCCACCCCCCAAACACCGAGUAACAACGUCGUCGACACACUCGAUAAAAGCAAAACAAUGAGCGAAGCCCGUAGCGGCACGGACGACGACGCAAGAGACAUGCACACGCUGCCACGUGGUCUUGUGAAGGGCCGAAUGCUCUUUGCGGUAUCUUGAUGGUGGCGGGGGUGGUGAGCUGGCUUGUGAACGGCGCACACUCACGGAACCAAACCCCGUCUCUUCUCCGCCUCACUUGCCCGGUCGCCAUCGUCUCAUGCCCCUCGCCUUUCAUGGCCCCCUCCCUAC
RNAcentral lists this unclassified non-coding RNA (1662 nucleotides) under Leishmania donovani. Its description in RNAcentral is "gene:LdHU3.09.1310(CDS-product:hypothetical_prote in_conserved)". Lineage: Eukaryota; Euglenozoa; Kinetoplastea; Trypanosomatida; Trypanosomatidae. The record is from RNAcentral.